AAAUAAUUUUCUUAAAAACUGCUAUUUUUGGAAAGUUUUCAUUUUUUUAGAGAAAUAUUGUAGAUUUGAAUUUGUGGUGUAAAAAUUAAGAUAACAAGAAUAUUUGUGGAUCAUUGAGUAUUCUUUUAGAAAUUUUCAUCAACAAGUUGUAUUUGAAAUAAUUAUCUUAAAAACUUCUAUUUUUGGAAAGUUUUCAUUUUGUAGAGAAAUAUUGUAGAUUUGGGUUUGUGAUUUAAAAUUUAGGAUAAAAAGAAUAUUGUGGAUAAAUGAGUAUAAUUUAAGAAUUUUUCAUCAAUGUGUUGUAUUUUUACAUAAUUUUCUUAAAAACUGCUAUUUUUGGAAAGUUUUAAUUUUAUAGAUAAAUAUUGUAGAUUUAGGUUUGUGAUUUAAAAAUCAGGAUAACAAGACUAUUUGUGGACAGAUGAAUACUCUUUAAGAAAUUUUCAUCAAUAUGUUAUAUUUUUAAAUAAAUUUCUUAAAAAUUUUAUUUUUGGAAAGUUUUCGUUUGUAGAGAAAUAUUGUAGAUUUGGGUUUGUGAUUUAGAAAUUAGGAUAACAAGAAUAUUUGUGGAUAGAUGAAUAUAAUUUAAGAAAUUUUCAAUAAUGUAUUGUAUUUUUAAAUUAUUUUCUUAAAAACAGUUUUCUUUGGAAAGUUUUCAUUUUAUAGAUAAAUUUUGUAGAUUUGGGUUUGUGAUUUAAAAAUUAGGAUAACUACACUAUUUGUGGACAGAUAAAUACUCUUUAAGAAUUUUUCAUCAAUAUGUUAUAUUUUUAAAUAAUUUUCUUUAAACUGCUAUUUUUGGAAAGUUUUCAUUUUUUUAAAGAAAUAUUAUAGAUUUGGAUUUGUGAAUUAGAAAUUAGGAUAACAAGAACAUUUGUGGAUAGAUGAGUAUUCUUUCGGAGUAUUCAUCAGUAGGUUAUAUUUUUAAAUAAUUUUCUUAAAAACUGCUAUUUUUGAAAAGUUUUCAUUUUUUUAGAGAAAUAUUGUAGAUUUGAAUUUGUGGUGUAAAAAUUAAGAUAACAAGAAUAUUUGUGGAUAAUUGAGUAUUCUUUUAGAAAUUUUAAUCAACAAGUUGCAUUUGAAAUAAUUUUCUUAAAAACUUCUAUUUUUGGAAAUUUUUUAUUUUUUAAAGAAAUAUUGUAGAUUUGGCUUUGUGAUUUUAAAAUUAGGACAACAACUAUAUUUGUGGAUAGAUGAAUAUAAUUUAAGAAUUUUUUAUCCAUGUGCUGUAUUUUUAAAUAAUUUUCUUAAAAACUGCUAUUUUUUUAAAGUUUUCAUUUUUUAGAGAAAUAUUGUAAAUUUGGGUUUGUGAUUUAGAAUUAGGACAACUAGACUAUUUGUGGACAGAUGAAUACUCUCUAAGAAUUUUUCAUCAAUAUAUUGUAUUUUUAAAUAAUUUUCUUAAAAACUUCUAUUUUUGGAAAGUUUUAUUUUUUUUAGAGUAAUAUUGUAGAUUUGAGUUUGUGAUUUAAAAAUUAGGACAACAAAUAUAUUUGUGGAUAAUUGAGUAUUCUUUUAGAAAUUUUCAUCAAAAAGUUGUAUUUUAAAUAAUUUUCUUAAAAACUUCUAUUUUUGGAAAGUUUUAUUUUUUUUAGAGUAAUAUUGUAGAUUUGAGUUUGUGAUUUAAAAAUUAGGACAACAAAUAUAUUUGUGGAUAAUUGAGUAUUCUUUUAGAAAUUUUCAUCAAAAAGUUGUAUUUUAAAUAAUUUUCUUAAAAACUUCUAUUUUUGGAAAGUUUUAUUUUUUUUAGAGUAAUAUUGUAGAUUUGAGUUUGUGAUUUAAAAAUUAGGACAACAAAUAUAUUUGUGGAUAAUUGAGUAUUCUUUUAGAAAUUUUCAUCAAAAAGUUGUAUUUUAAAUAAUUUUCUUAAAAACUGCUAUUUUUGGAAAGUUUUCAUUUUAUUGAUAAAUAUUGUAGACUAGGGUUUGUGAUUUAAAAAUUAGGAUAACUAGACAAUUUGUGGAAAGAUGAAUACUCUUUAAGAAAUUUUCAUCCAUAUGUUGUAUUUUAAAAUAUUUUUCUUAAAAACUGCUAUUUUUGGAAAGUUUUCAUUUUAUUGAUAAAUAUUGUAGACUAGGGUUUGUGAUUUAAAAAUUAGGAUAACUAGACAAUUUGUGGAAAGAUGAAUACUCUUUAAGAAAUUUUCAUCCAUAUGUUGUAUUUUAAAAUAUUUUUCUUAAAAACUGCUAUUUUUGGAAAGUUUUCAUUUUAUUGAUAAAUAUUGUAGACUAGGGUUUGUGAUUUAAAAAUUAGGAUAACUAGACAAUUUGUGGAAAGAUGAAUACUCUUUAAGAAAUUUUCAUCCAUAUGUUGUAUUUUAAAAUAUUUUUCUUAAAAACUGCUAUUUUUGGAAAGUUUUCAUUUUUUAGAGAAAUAUUAUAGAUUUGGGUUUGUGAUUUAGAAAUUAGGACAACAAGAAUAUUUGUGGAUAGAUGAGUAUCCUUUCGGAGUUUUUUAUCAACAGUUUGUAAUUUUAAAUAAUUUUCUUAAAAACUGUUAGUUUUGGAAAAUUUUCAUUUUUAGAGAAAUAUUAUAGAUUUAGGUUUGUGAUUUAGAAAUAAGGACAACAAGAAUAUUUGUGAAUAGAUGAGUAUUACUUCGGAGUUUUUCAUCAAUAUGUUGUAUUUUUAAAUAAUUUUCUUAAAAUCUGCUAUUUUUGAAAAGUUUUCAUUUUUAGAGAAAUAUUAUAGAGUUGGGUUUUUGAUUUAGAAAUUAGGACAACCAGAAUAUUUUUAGAUAGAUGAUUUUUUCGGAUUUUUUCAUCAAUAAAUUGUAUUUUUAAAUAAUUUUCUUAAAAACUUCUAUUUUUGGAAAGUUUUAAUUUUAUAGAUAAAUAUUGUAGAUUAGGGUUUUGUGAUUUAAAAAUUAGGAUAACUAGACUAUUUGUGGAAAGAUGAAUACUCUUUAAGAAAUUUUCAUCAAUAUGUUGUAUUUUUAAAUUAUUUUAUUAAAAACUGCUAUUUUGGAAAGUUUUCAUUUUUAGAGAAAUAUUAUAGAUUUGGGUUUGUGAUUUAGAAAUUAGGACAACAAGAAUAUUUGUGGAUAGAUGAUUCUUUCGAUUUUUUUCAUCAAUAGAUUGUAUUUUAAAAUAAUUAUCUUAAAAACUGCUAUUUUUAUAAAAUUUUCAUUUUUUAGAGAAAUAUUGUAGAUUUGAGUUUUUGGUUUAAAAAUUAUGAUAACAAGAAUAUUUGUGGAUAAUUGAGUAUUCUUUAAGAAAUUUUCAUCAACAAGUUGUAUUUGAAAUAAUUUUCUUAAGAACUUAUAUUUUUGGAAUUUUUUUAUUAUUAGAGAAAUAUAAUAGAUUUUGGUUUGUGAUUUAAAAAUUAGGAGAACAAGAAUAUUUGUGGAUAGAAGAGUAUAAUUUAAGAAGUUUUCAUCCAUGUGUUGUAUUUUUAAAUAAUUUUCUUAAAAACGGCUAUUUUUGGAAAGUUUUUCAUUUUUUAGAAAAAUAUUAUAGAUUUAGGUUUGUGAUUUAAAAAUUAGGAUAAAAAUAAUAUUUGUGGAUAGAUGAAUAUAAUUUAAUAAUUUUUCAUCAAUGUGUUGUAUUUUUAAAUAAUUUUCUUAAAAACUGCUAUUUUUUUUAAAGUUUUCAUUUUUUAGAGAAAUAUUGUAUAAUUGGGUUUGUGAUUUAAAAAUUAGGACAACUAGACUAUUUGUGGACAGAUGAAUACUCUCUAAGAAUUUUUCAUCAAUAUAUUGUAUUUUAAAAUAAUUUUCUUGAAAGUUGCUAUUUUUAUAAGUUUUCAUUUUUUAGAGAAAUAUUAUAGAUUUGGGUUUGUGAUUUAGAAAUUAGGACAACAAGAAUAUUUGUGGGUAGAUGAGUAUUCUUUCGGAAUUUUUCAUCAAUAGGUUGUAUUUUUAAAUAAUUUUCUUAAAAACUUCUAUUUUUGAAAAGUUUUCAUUUUUUAGAGAAAUAUUGUUGAUUAGGGUUUGUGAUUUGAAAAUUAGGAUAACUAGAGUAUUUGUGGAAAGAUGAAUACUCUUUAAGAAAUUUUCAUCAAUAUGUUGUAUUUUGAAAUAAUUUUCUUAAAAACUGCUACUUUUGAAAAGUUUUUUUUUAGAGAAAUAUUGUAGAUUAGGGUUUGUGAUUUAAUAAUUAGGAUAACUAGACUAUUUGUGGAAUGACGAAUACUCUUUAAGAAAUUUUCAUCAAUAUGUUUUAUUUUUAAAUAAUUUUCUUAAAAGCUGCUAUUUUUAGAAAGUUUUAAUUUUUUAGAGAAAUAUUGUAGAUUAGGGUUUGUGAUUUAAUAAUUAGGAUAACUAGACUAUUUGUGGACAGAUGAAUAAUCUUUAAGAAUUUUUCAUCAAUAUGUUUUAUUUUUAAAUAAUUUUCUUAAAAGCUGCUAUUUUUAGAAAGUUUUAAUUUUUUAGAGAAAUAUUAUAGAUUUGGGUUUGUGAUUUAGAAAUUAGGACAACAGGAAUAUUUGUGGAUAGAUGAGUAUUCUUUCGGAGUUUUUCAUCAGUAGGUUAUAUUUUUAAAUAAUUUUCUUAAAAACUACUAUUUUUGGAAUUUCUUCAUUUUUGGAGAAAUAUUGUAGAUUUGGGUUUGUGAUUUAAAAAUUAGGACAACUAGACUAUUUGUGGACAGAUGAAUAAUCUUUAAGAAUUUUUCAUCAAUGUUUUUUAUUUUUAAAUAAUUUUCUUAAAAACUGCAAUUUUUAGAAAGUUUUUAUUUUUUAGAGAAAUAUUAUAGGUUUGAGUUUUUGAUUUUGAAAUUAGGACAACAAGAAUAUUUGUGGAUAGAUGAGUAUUCUUUCGGAGUUUUUCAUCAACAGUUUGUAAUUUUAAAUAAUUUCUUAAAAACUGUUAUUUUUGGAAAAUUUUCAUUUUUAGAGAAAUAUUAUAGAUUUGGGUUGUGAUUUAGAAAUUAGGACAACAAGAAUAUUUGUGGAUAGAUGAGUAUUAUUUCAGAGUUUUUCAUCAAUAAGUUGUAUUUUUAAAUAAUUUUCUUAAAAACAGCUAUUUUUUGAAAGUUUUCAUUUUUUGAGAGAAAUAUUGUAGAUUUCAGUUUGUGGUUUAAAAAUUAAGAUAACAAUAAUGUUUGUGGAUAGAAGAGUAUAAUUUAAGAAAUUUUCAUCAACACGUUGUAUUUUAAAUAAUUUUCUUAAGAACUUUUAUUUUGAAAAGUUUUCAUUUUUAUGAGAAAUAUUGAAAAUUUGGGUUUGUGAUUUUAAAAUUAAGAUAACAAGACUAUUUGUGGAUAGAUGAGUAUUCUUUCGGAGUUUUUCAUCAGGAGGUUAUAUUUUUAAAUAAUUUUCUUGAAAACUGCUAUUUUAGGAAAUUUUUCGUUUUUUUGAGAAAUAUUGUAGAGAGCAAGCUUUAGAACAAACCCAUCAAGGUUUCUUGUUUUAUCUCAGAGCUACCACUAUAGGGAUCUCAAGCUUCUCAUCAUUAGUCAUCUGCAAAGCCAUACCUGACGAAGAAGAAGAAGCAAAGACGAUGAUGAGAUCCGAAGAAAAUCAUAAAUCAAACCCGACGAAGAAGAAGAAGCAACGGAACUUGAGAUAGACGGAGAAGCUAACAAUCUAAUACUAAGAAACAAGCUUAUAUUACUGUUGGGACUGGAUUACAUCCUCCCAUAAGGCCCAUCAGUCGGCAAGCCUGGCUUAAUAGAAUCAUAACUGCCGGCUCGGCUUGGCGACAAAACGCUGGAAAGACUCUCCACUGCUUUUAAGCCGACUCGAGCCAGCGAUUGAAUCGACUCCCUCCAACGGCUCGCCAGAGCGCUUUACUCCGAAGGCCCGACAGGCCGAAGCCAAAAAGGACGAGAAGAACUAGGUCAAGAGGUCGGCGAAUCGACUACAUAAGGAGAGAAGGAAGCAUCGAGAAAGGGAUCCGCAAAUAACCAAACACUUACUUUCGGCUAGAAAUUAGGGUUUUAUAUCUUACUCUCGUCGACUUGUACCUUCCGGCGAACUAGCUUUCGCCGGUUUACUUUCUACCACUUCUUUCCCCUUUUGUAACACAGUCAAACAACACCCUGAUCUAAUAGACGCUUUUGUCUCGAUCCAUCAACGAGUUCUCGUCUCUUCUCUUUACUAGUUUAUGGACAGUUCUCGGUUCAAACAGUUGGCACCCACCAUGGGGCAAACAAAGUAGAGUCAGCAAGAUCAUGGCUCACUAAGAUUCGCCGUCUGGCGACGAGUCACCUCCGACUGAAGCUGCUCUGACAGCAGCUUUCGCAGACACCAUACUGGAAAAAAUGGCUCAGCAGGACGCCAUUCAGAAGGCGACAAACGAGCAGCUCGCCGCUAUCGCCGCCAUCUUAGCUCCCUUAGCUGGAAACUCUGCAGAUCCAGCCACGGUUCGAAAACAGCUGUUCGACACCUAUCGAACAGCCGGCGUUGCGAACACGGCAGAUACAAACGCUGUCCAAAUCCAAACUCCUGGCGGUCCAGAUCUCACAACUAUCCAUGGGCUUGCCGAGCUUAAGCAGUCGGUCCUGGAUAUUAGGGAGAAGAUCCUCCAAGGACCCACUUCGGCACCAUUGAUCGAACGCGUUCUCUCUGAAACCCUAAGGACCCCAUUUUCCCGGCGAGUUACCGAUGUACGGUACCAACCGAUAUAAUUCUAUUGUGAAUACAAAAUAAACAAUAUGUAAAUUAUACCGAUAUAAUUCUAUUGUGUCAAAUUCUAUUACUUAUUUUAUAUAAGUAAAAAAUAUUAUCUUAUUAUUUUAUCGAUUUGUGUCCAAUUUUGAAUCAGCCCAAAUUGAGACCGGCAAAAUUUAUUAAUUUAUAGUGAUUAUUAAUUUACCGAAUAUUAAUUUAAAAAGAUCCUACUGUAUACAGAGCCGGCCUUGGAGGUAAGCGGGAGAAGCGGCUGCUUCCAGCCGUCAUUAAAUUAUCAAGUUUAGUGGCCACAUUUUUACAGUAUUUAUCCAAUAGUUCCAGUGGUAAUGUUGAAAUUUGAGGUAUGAGAGGGUGAGGGUUCGAGAUUCUAUGCAAUGGUAUUUUUUUAAGUAGUUUCUUUUUAAAUAAUUAAACAUAAAUAGGUCACUUUUUUUUAGUUCUGCUUCCAGUCCGGUAAAUACACGGACCGGCUCUGACUGUAUAUAGCCUUCUUCUCCAUCCUACGGUGAGCAUUGAUUUGGAUCUUUAAACUCAUACUUCUUGCUUUCUUUUUCUUUUUACUCCUUUGCUAGAUUUAAUGGUAGUAAUAAUUGCAGGUACUAUGUUGCCCUCGUACGACCUAGAGACAAGCUAUUGAUAGAUAUCUGCAUAUCCAAAGUGAAUGCAUCUGACACGGUCAAAGAAAACUCACUGUUGAUCAUGUUUGGGAAGUUCGGCAAAGAGCAACACAAACAUAUGACCACGUCAUCCUCAUGCUCUCUCGUCUCGUGGACAGUCCCGGGAUUUUGGUAUACAAAUUUCAGAUGUUUUUGAUAUUGGACCGAAUCAGAACCGGUUAUUUUUGUUCGGUUCAGGUUCAAAAUUGAUUUACACAAAAAGUAAUUAAUUUAUUCUUGUGUUAAAUUAAAAAAAAUUACCAAUUGUUACUUUGUUUUGUAAGAAUCUAACUAAAUCCAUAUGCAAAAAUAAAUAAUUCACGCAGAAAAAACCAUUAAUAAAAACAUCUUGUAAAAAGCAUCAAUAAAAACAUCAAAAAUCGGCUCAGUUUGAUAAAUAAUUUUGGAAACAAAAGAUACCAAGCCUUUCUCAUGUUUUGGUUUCCUUUUAAAAGUUAAGCUUUAUAAUAUAAAUUCAGUUUUAAUACCUAUCAAACCUAAAUGUUUUUUUAGUGUAUCAAAAGACUUUGUAAUCGUUAUACAAAAUGUCGAAAAACAUUUAGUCAUUGUGGAAGCAGAAAAGGUUUAAAUGUCGAAAAAAUGUUUGUUGACAAGUUUGUGGAGAUAUGGUUAUGUUACGAUUAGACAUGUUGAAUUUGUUUGUGGAUAUGAAGUGGACAAUGUAUCAUAUUCAUAUCUUUUCGUCACACGUCAAUAGUUUUCUCAAUAAUCUUAAAAAAAAACAAAAUACGGUUGGAGAUAAAAGGAACCUUCUCUCUCUUCGUAUCUACUUCACCUUCUCUCUAAAAGGAACCACCGCAUCUCUGUUUGUUUUCCGGCGGUUGUUGCCAUCAGCGGCCGCCGGACCUCCGUCCAUUGUUGUUUUCUUUCUUUUUCCGUCGUUCGGUCUCUCUCUCUCCUUCGUCGUCCAUGUUUCUCUGCGGUUAGAGGGAGUCGUGUGUCUGGAUCUCAGAUCUGGUCGACCCAAAUACAGAUCUGGGUUUGCGGUGGUUGUGGUCGCUUGAGGACGACGUCUACCAGCAUUGUGUCCAACCUUCGUACGUCUAGGGUUUCCAGGUAGUUUUUACGAGCUUCAGUUUCGCUUCUCCGAGUGUUGUGGCGUGUGUAGCUCAUCUUGCUCCUCGUCGGUCUUGUUCGUCUCCGGUGUUGCGUCUGUGUGUCGUGCGAGGCGCCGCGUGGAGUUGGGGCUCUUGGUCCGCCAGAUUCUGGUAGGCUCUGUGUCUAUAUGCUUUCUCUGUGGUGUUGCCGCCAUGUUCUCUGGUGGUUGCAGCGUGUGAGGUUUCUUCGGUGGCGGAGGCGUCGGUCCGCCUCUCUGUGUUCCCCAGUGGCAGCACGUUCGUGCUUAAGCUACUUCGGUGUGUUAAGCUCAGUCUUUUGCUCCGGUCAUUGCUCUGCGCUCCUCAGAUCGGGUGGUGGUCGGUGUAGUGGCCUGCUGCGUCCCACACUCUUCUCAAAUAAUCUCAACAGCUUUGUGUUACAGUUCAAGUGGGAUACUUAGUGCGUUAGUUGGACAACGAGUUUCAGAGUUUGGUUAUGGAUUUGUCUCUUCUGGAGGGUUGUCCGUCUACCGAUCUGUAUUCUCUAUAUGGGUUGCGGUUAGAUGGGUGUAUACGGUCACAGUGGAAUGCAAUGGAGGCGGUAAUCUCUCCGCUGAACGAUGAGCAGGUUCGUGUUCGGAUUAUUCGUUUGGGAGUGCUCUGUGCAGCCGUUGGAAGCUGUAGGAACUGUAGCAUUCAGGAUUUGAGGGUGCCUUUCUCUUGGUAGCUCGCGGCAAUUAAUCGUUUAUUCAUCUAGCUCUCGUGUUAGGACAACAAGAAUAUUUUUGGAUAGAUGAUUCUUUCGGAUUUUUCAUCAAUAGGUUGUAUUUUUAAAUAAUUUUCUUAAAAACUGCUAUUUUUGGAAAGUUUUAAUUUUAUAGAUAAAUAUUGUAGAUUAGGGUUUGUGAUUUAAAAAUUAGGAUAACUAGACUAUUUAUGGAAAGAUGAAUACUCUUUAAGAAAUUUUCAUCAACAUGUUGUAUUUUUAAAUAAUUUUCUUAAAAACUGCUAUUUUUGGAAAGUUUUCAUUUUUAGAGAAAUAUUAUAGAUAAGAGUUUGUGAUUUAGAAAUUAGUAUAACAAGAAUAUUUAUUGAUAGAUGAUUCUUUCGAUUUUUUUCAUCAAUAGGUUGUAUUUUUAAACAAUUAUCUUAAAAACUGCAACUUUUGAUUUUUGGAAAGUUUUCAUUUUUUUAGAGAAAUAUUGUAGAUUUGAGUUUGUGGUUUAAAAAUUAAGAUAACAAAAAUAUUUGUGGAUAAUUGAGUAUUCUUUUAGAAAUUUUGCAUCAACAAGUUGUAUUUGAAAUAAUUUUCUUAAAAAUUUCUGUUUUUGGAAAAUUUUCAUUUUUUAGAGAAAUAUUAUAGAUUUGGGUUUGUGAUUUUUAAAUUAGGAUAAAAAUAAUAUUUGUGGAUAGAAGAGUAUAAUAUACGAAUUUUUCAUCAAUUUGUUGUAUUUUUAAAUAAUUUUCUUAAAAACUGCUAUUUUUGGAACGUUUUCAUUUUUAGAGAAAUAUUAUAGAUUUGGGUUUGUGAUUUUUAAAUUAGGAUAAAAAUAAUAUUUGUGGAUAGAAGAGUAUAAUAUACGAAUUUUUCAUCAAUUUGUUGUAUUUUUAAAUAAUUUUCUUAAAAACUGCUAUUUUUGGAACGUUUUCAUUUUUAGAGAAAUAUUAUAGAUUUGAGUUUGUGAUUUAGAAAUUAGUAUAACAAGAAUAUUUGUGGAUAGAUGAUUCUUUCGAAUUUUUUCAUCAAUAGGUUGUAUUUUUAAAUAAUUAUCUUAAAAACUGCAAUUUUUGGAAAAUUUUCAUUUUUCAGAGAAAUAUUGUAGAUUUGAGUUUGUGGUUUAAAAAUUAAGAUAACAAAAAUAUUUGUGGAUAAUUGAG
This 10164-nucleotide long non-coding RNA is filed under the name Brassica napus (rape). RNAcentral's name for it is "long non-coding RNA (BNAP_LNC025109)". The record is from RNAcentral. Lineage: Eukaryota; Viridiplantae; Streptophyta; Magnoliopsida; Brassicales; Brassicaceae.